CAAUAAAAAGGAAACAAAUAACCAAGACCAAGCCCAGCCCAAAAGAAAGCGCACGUUGCCCCUGUGACGGGCGUCACAAGGAGUGUGACGAGCGUCACACUAAAAGCACUCCUGUGACGAGCGUCACACAUGGUGUGACGAACGUCACACCAGUCCUCUAUAUUUUUGGCGCAAGGAACUCAACUGACCACGUUGAAGCCUACUUCCACGCACGCUUAACCCUCGGAACGAGACCACGCACACGGAAACCCUUGAAAAGUAGUUACACCAGCAGCUGUAUAAAUAGCAGCUAAUUGGGAACUUUCAA
Molecule: long non-coding RNA, 307 nt
Filed under: Lathyrus oleraceus (garden pea)
Lineage: Eukaryota; Viridiplantae; Streptophyta; Magnoliopsida; Fabales; Fabaceae
Description: Pisum sativum (pea) long non-coding RNA (PSAT_LNC026572)
Source: RNAcentral